AGCCUUUCCCCCACCCCCCGCUUCUGCAGGGCACAUGGGAUAGGCUCCUGCCGCAUCUCCACCCUGCCCCAGCCGGGAAACACCCAGAGAGGGAAGUCCGUGAAUGUCACCGCUGAGAAAUGUCCCACACCAAGCUGCACCAAACCUAGCCGCUCUGAAUUGAAUUAACAAGACGAGGUCCCCUUCAUAUACCACAGUCCAGGCACGAUACAGCCAACACACGUGUGUGACACACAUACACUAUUUCUGUUUAUGACACACGUCCUGCCCAUAGCAGGAUGUUGGAGGGGUCUGUCCCUCGGUUCCAGCGCCCAUGUUUCUACACAGCUCAGUGGUUCUAGCUUUGCACGUCACAUUUUUUUGCAUCCUAGCAGCUGCAGCUGCCCUUUCUCUCAGUGCAAAGCGAAACUUGGCUGCAACACCAGGGCAGAGUGUGGCCUGACCCCCCUCCUGCCCUGCAGAAUUUAGCUCCAAGGAGAACUGAGUGCCAGCGCGGGGUAUUUGGUGCGCUCCACUUCCACCUCCGGGGAGGGAGCGACGGUUUACUUCAGGGAGAAACAAAGGGGCAGCAGAAGCGAUAAGUAACAUUAUCUCUUCUUGCUGUGGUGAGAAGCUGGGGCUCAAGGCUGUUGCAGCUGCUUCUGCUUCUGCAAAGAAGGAAGAAGCAGCCCGGACAUCACUGUUUUAAACGCAGUCUGCUGAUCGCUGCAGUUAGGAGCACAGAGCAAAGCACAGAGGCUGCGGGGAGAAAGUGCAGAGCAACUGAAGCUGCCCAGCCAAUGGGUUUCUGCUCUGUGUAACAGCCCAGGCUCAGUGUGAGUAAGAAGCUUCAGACUCCUUCCAGAUAUUUUGAAUUAUAGAAGAAGAAAUGAAUCUUGCAAAUGACAGUGCAAAGUUCAGUACCAUUUAUGACUGGGACUAUGUUGUGUGGAAAGUUCGUUUGACAUUACUAGCAGCUGGUUUUUUCAGCUACCUGGGAGUAUUUCUUCUCGCUCACUGGCUGGCCUCAUGGAUCAGUGCCAGUUAUCGCACUUUGUCAGCAAAGCAGAAGAUCUUCUGGAAUAUGAAUAUCACACGUGGCCUGUUUGCAGUUCAGAGUUGUGGAGCUGGGUUGUGGGCCUUGCUUAUAGAUCCAGUUUUUCAAGCUGACCAAGUGUAUGCACAGCAAAAGUGGAGCUGGUUUCAUUGCUUAAUAGCCGCUGGCUACUUCUUGCUUGAAAAUGUAGUUAUUCAUGUGUCUAACAUUGUUUUCAGGAUAUUUGAUGUGUUCGAGGUAGUUCAUCAUUUAUUUGCCUUUGGUGGGCUUCUUGGUCUGAUAAUUAACAUAAAAUCUGGACACUAUCUACCCCUGAUGGGACUGCUACUUGAGAUGAACAAUCCUUCAUACUGCAUAUCCUUUAUGCUUGCAAGGAUUGGCUGUGCUAAUACCCUUUUUGGGAAGGCAACCCAAUGGGUAAAUAUCCAUAUGCUUCACUGCCGCAUGGUCCUUAUUUAUCAUAUGUGGUGGGUGUGUAUUACCCAUUGGAAUGAUGUGGUGGAAAAUCUGGGACUUCCAUAUUUUAUUGUUUUUUUCAUGGGGUUAAGUACACUUACAUUAAUACUUAAUCCAUACUGGAUAUUCAAAUCGACUCAGCGGCUCUUUGGUCCAGUUGACAGGAAAUUUCCAAAUACAGCAGUGAAAAAUGCAUCCUGUGAAAAUUUAAAUAGUGAAACAUUCCAAAAGAAGAGGAUAUAGUUCUGCAACAGCUAUUAGGGUUGCAGUAAAAUAUGGCCAGGAGAAAGUGGUGCAGGUUUACUAGCAAGUCCAUGAAAAUAGAAUUGCUUACAAGAAGUCUAUGAAUAUAUUGAUCUGUCUGCAGUUUGCUAUCAGUGUACUAUAUUCAUUUAUCAAAAGUGUUUUAAAAUUGUUGUUGUCUAUCUUUAAAAUAUACACACACUCUUUGACUCAGUCAGGAUUGGUGCCAGUAAUUUUAGUCUGGGAGCCUAAUGCCAGACUGGCGUACGAUAUUGAACCUAUUGGUUGGCAAAUAUGAGCCCAUGCAAAAGUAAAUAUCACAUGCAUAAAGUUCCAGCAUGGAAUACAGCUCGACCUGGUUAUAGUGACCUUACAGCAAGGACAUCACACAGAGUGGAUGAUUGAUGAGUGAGUAAAUGUGGGGUGAUCUUCGUUCGGUACCAACCCUCAGCCCAUUCUAAAACACUAAUUAGGUAAAAAUUAGUAACCACAUGCCCACUGGGCAUGCUUUUAAGAUAUGUGACUCCUUUGAGGAAAAAGAGUAUAAGAAUCAAGCAAAGUAAAUUACUGUGUUUGGGAUUCCUUAAUUGACGCUUGAAGAAGCAACGCUGCUAGACAGAGUAGCCAAAACUCUUCUCCUUGGGCUCGAGUAGGACUGUGAACCAGAGGGGUCUCAAGGCCUUGCCUUGAGGGAAUCCGAGACAGACCAGAGGGUUGAGAAGAACAGACCUGGAGAGAAGAAGCCGUCUAUAAAAUUGAUGAGGAGGAGGAGAAUGUGCAGCAGGCAAGCAGUGAAUCCGUUCUCCCCGGCAGCCAGGACCUUUUCAUCACCUUGGAGCCAAUACCCUCUCAAGGUGGGAUCCCCGACCCUGAAGCCAGAGAAGGCACCUCUGGUGCAAAUGUUUCUAUGCUCCUCCUAUCCUCUCUGUCCCUGAGGUUAUAGCAGAUUAGAAAGUGGAAAAAAACACACUUGCGUUGACAUGUUUGCCAAGCUCAUGCAGUCCUCCCGCACUGAUAGGGCACAGCUUAAUGCAUGGAGGCAUUCAGUGGCAGAGGCCAGGAGAGAAUUAAGUGAGCUUGGAGAGCAGAGGCAGGACAUGAUGCUGAGGCUAAUGGGGGAGCAAACGGACAUGAUGAAGCAUCUGUUGGAGCUGCAGGAAAGCCAACAAGAGCACAGACUCCCGCUACAUCCACUGCAAAACUGCAUGCCCUCCUCCCCAAGUUCCAUAUCUGCCUCACCCAGAUGCCCAAGAACACGGGGGCAGGGAGGCUUCGGGCACCCAGCCACUCCACUCCAGAGGAUGACCCAAGCAACAGAAGGCUGUCAUUCAAACAGUGUUUAUUGUAGCCACACUAAAAAUCAAAAUGUGGCCUUGUCCUUCCCUCUUCCCCUACCCCAACUGGGCUACCUUGUCCAUUAUCUCUCUUUUUUAAAAAAAAAAAUUAAUAAAGAAAGAAUGCAUGGUU
RNA transcript from Malaclemys terrapin pileata, 3202 nucleotides. It is a transcript of the gene named protein CLN8-like, with no coding region annotated. Lineage: Eukaryota; Metazoa; Chordata; Testudines; Emydidae. The transcript has 5 exons. The record is from RefSeq and is a predicted model, not a curated record.